GAGAGGCUCCUUUCCACAGCUGAGCAGCACAGAAACGUUUCUGCAAGUUUGGAGCAAAGGGAUGUUACCUGGGAGGAAGCACUGAGCACAGGCAAGGAUCCAUUGCAAAGCACAUCCAGUAAAGGAAGACCUUUAUUCUUUCUUACUCACGAGAAAUAUCUGUCAAGUCACUGAGUGGUUUGAUUGAAUGAGAGCAGUGAAACUGCUUUCUAUGGUGGAAGAUUUUUAAAAAGAGAGGCUCUGAACUGAACAACUACCCCCUGACAACUCUGUAGAAAGGAACAUAGGCAAAAUUGAGCCAUGGGGUUCUAAAGCUAAAAUCUAAAAAGUUCCCUUGACCCUAUAUCUGAUCCCAGGAGCCUUUGAGAGUCUCUGAGUUGGCACCUCAAAUUUUGGCCAGCACCUGAAAUUAUGCUUUUUCCACUGAAACAGGCUGAAGUCUAGACAGGACUCAAGUACCUUGACAGGUAGCCCCAUGUUAGCCUGACCAUUCCCCCUAAUAUUAAUAAACUUUAACACGUAUUUCUCCUGUGGUGAAAUAAUCCCCUCCCAUGUGCUGGAAGCGCCAACCAUCUGCCAAGGAAAUCAGCCCUCGGUGAGAAAGUGCCCUGUGUCCAACUCACUCUGCUUGCCUGUCUCUGGGAGAACAGCCCAGCAGCAGCAGUGCUUGGGCUCUGCUCUUCCUGGGCUCCUGUUUUUUCAUGAGCAAUGUGAAUGCUUUGCAAUGGUUUCAGCAAAUGCACCAAAUGAGGACUGUGUUGUGACAACUGUUGGGAGACGGUGCUUGGGUUUUGUAUUCUCAGAGAUGCUGAGGGACUGGAGGAGCCUGGCAAAUCUACAGUGCAGAGGGCAAAUAACCAACCUGGUGUGGCUGGCUGAAAUUUGCCUGUGUUGUCUGGCUGGUUUAGAGGGUUCCCUGCCCUGAACCUUCUUUUGGGGACUGGGUUGCUGUCCCAGAAGAAGUUCUUCCUGGAGCUGUAAUGCAGUCCCAUGCAGCAGCACAGCUGCCAGCUGGCCUGUAUUGCCAAGCAGAGCUGCUUGCUGGGGCUCACAUGCUUUAAAGUCUUAGCCUGGGUCUCAGUGGA
Melospiza georgiana is the source of this 1085-nucleotide long non-coding RNA. RefSeq lists it as uncharacterized. The transcript has 3 exons. NCBI's taxonomy places the organism in Eukaryota, Metazoa, Chordata, Aves, Passeriformes, Passerellidae. The record is from RefSeq and is a predicted model, not a curated record.